GACGAACGCUGGCGGCGUGCUUAACACAUGCAAGUCGAACGGAAAGGCCCUGCUUGCAGGGUACUCGAGUGGCGAACGGGUGAGUAACACGUGGGUGAUCUGCCCUGCACUUCGGGAUAAGCCUGGGAAACUGGGUCUAAUACCGGAUAUGACCUUCCAUGUAGUGUGGGGGGUGGAAAGAUUUAUCGGUGUGGGAUGAGCCCGCGGCCUAUCAGCUUGUUGGUGGGGUAAUGGCCUACCAAGGCGUCGACGGGUAGCCGGCCUGAGAGGGUGGACGGCCACAUUGGGACUGAGAUACGGCCCAGACUCCUACGGGAGGCAGCAGUGGGGAAUAUUGCGCAAUGGGCGGAAGCCUUAUGCAGCGACGCCGCGUGGGGGAUGACGGCCUUCGGGUUGUAAACCUCUUUCGACAGGGACGAAGCUUCGGUGACGGUACCUGUAGAAGAAGCACCGGCUAACUACGUG
RNAcentral lists this ribosomal RNA (465 nucleotides) under uncultured bacterium. Its description in RNAcentral is "partial 16S ribosomal RNA". It matches the Rfam family "Bacterial small subunit ribosomal RNA", at positions 28 to 507 of the family's 1533-position model. The record is from RNAcentral.